Molecule: long non-coding RNA, 302 nt
Organism: Agrilus planipennis (emerald ash borer)
Lineage: Eukaryota; Metazoa; Arthropoda; Insecta; Coleoptera; Buprestidae
Exons: 2
Source: RefSeq, a predicted model, not a curated record
UCAGAAAAUUCAAUUUUUCAGUACUUUUCGUCAGUGGUAAACCGUGGUACAGAGUAAAAACGCCAAGAGAAAACAUGGUGGUCAACUUUAUCAAAUGCACUAUAUAUGCUAGACUGAUGAAAUUUAGAAAACGACACGAACCACCCAAGCAACAUUGGCUAGACUACGCUUCCGACAAAUUUUCUAAGAAGUUAAUUUGCGACAUGAAGAUUAUAUAUUCAGUUUUAUUGCUCUUCACGCCGUUGCCGAUUUUCUGGUCUCUUUUUGAUCAGCAAGGUUCAAGAUGGACCUUUCAGGUAAAA